RNAcentral lists this ribosomal RNA (446 nucleotides) under uncultured bacterium. RNAcentral's name for it is "partial 16S ribosomal RNA". It matches the Rfam family "Bacterial small subunit ribosomal RNA", at positions 338 to 795 of the family's 1533-position model. The record is from RNAcentral.
CCUACGGGUGGCAGCAGUCGAGAAUCAUUCACAAUGGGGGAAACCCUGAUGGUGCGACGCCGCGUGGGGGAAUGAAGGUCUUCGGAUUGUAAACCCCUGUCAUGUGGGAGCAAAUUAAAAAGAUAGUACCACAAGAGGAAGAGACGGCUAACUCGGUGCCAGCAGCCGCGGUAAUACAGAGGUCUCAAGCGUUGUUCGGAAUCACUGGGCGUAAAGCGUGCGUAGGCUGUUGCGUAAGUCGUGUGUGAAAGGGGCGGGCUCAACCCGCGGACGGCACAUGAUACUGCGAGACUAGAGUAAUGGAGGGGGAACCGGAAUUCGCGGUGUAGCAGUGAAAUGCGUAGAUAUCGAGAGGAACACUCGUGGCGAAGGCGGGUUCCUGGACAUUAACUGACGCUGAGGCACGAAGGCCAGGGGAGCGAAAGGGAUUAGAUACCCGUGUAGUC